Molecule: non-coding RNA, 794 nt
Filed under: Goera martynowi
Lineage: Eukaryota; Metazoa; Arthropoda; Insecta; Trichoptera; Goeridae
Source: RNAcentral
AAAGUUAAUUUUAACUUUGAUAUUUAUUUAAAAUUUAUUGUAUAUAUAAAUAUUUGUGGAAAUAAAAAUUGGAAUUUAAAAAAUUUUAAAGUUUUUGAUUAUAUAAUAUAAAAUAUUAAAAAUUAAAGAAAUUUAGAUUUAGUAAUAUUUAAAUUAUUAACAAAUAUUUGUGCCAGCAGUUGCGGUUAUACUAUAAAUAAAUUAAAUAUAAAUUAUAAUUUAAUUAAUAAUUAUUAAUUUAAAUUAAAAUUAAAUAUUAUAUAUUUGGGUAAAAUUUUUUUAUAAAUUAAAUUUUAUAGAAUUAAUUAUAUGAUUAUUAAUAAAGAAUUUUAAUUAAACUAGGAUUAGAUACCCUAUUAUAAAUUUAAAAUAUAAUAAAAUAUAAGGUAGUAAAAAAUAUAUUUUUUAAACUUAAAAAAUAUGGCAGUAUUUUAUUCUAAUUAGAGGAACCUGUUUAUUAAUUGAUAUUCCACAAUUAAUUUUACUUAAUUUAAUUUAAUUUGUAUAUCGUUGUUAUAAAAAUAUUUUUAAGAAAUAAAGAUUUUAAAAUUUAAAUUAAAAUUUAUAUCAAAUCAUGAUGCAGUUUAUAAUUAAGAAUUUUAUGGGUUAUAAUAAAUUUAUUUUUGGAUAAAUUUUUAAGAAUUUUAAAUUUUGAAAUUAGAUUUAAUAGUAAUUUAAAAUUAUUUAAUUUAAAUGAUUUAAGUUUUAAAAUAUGUACAUAUUGCCCGUCAUUUUCAUUUAAAAAUUGAAACAAGUCGUAACAUAGUAGAAGUACUGGAAAGUGUUUCUAGAAA